GGAGGGUACAGCUCAGUGAUAGAGCACGUGUUUAGCACGCACGAGGUCCUGGGUUCAAUCCCCAGCAUCUCCA
Molecule: non-coding RNA, 73 nt
Organism: Camelus ferus (Wild Bactrian camel)
Lineage: Eukaryota; Metazoa; Chordata; Mammalia; Artiodactyla; Camelidae
Source: Rfam